UGAACGCUGGCGGCGUGCCUAAUACAUGCAAGUCGAGCGAACAGACGCGGAGCUUGCUCCUCUGACGUUAGCGGCGGACGGGUGAGUAACACGUGGAUAACCUACCUAUAAGACUGGGAUAACUUCGGGAAACCGGAGCUAAUACCGGAUAAUAUAUUGAACCGCAUGGUUCAAUAGUGAAAGACGGUUUUGCUGUCACUUAUAGAUGGAUCCGCGGCGCAUUAGCUAGUUGGUAAGGUAACGGCUUACCAAGGCGACGAUGCGUAGCCGACCUGAGAGGGUGAUCGGCCACACUGGAACUGAGACACGGUCCAGACUCCUACGGGAGGCAGCAGUAGGGAAUCUUCCGCAAUGGGCGAAAGCCUGACGGAGCAACGCCGCGUGAGUGAUGAAGGUCUUCGGAUCGUAAAACUCUGUUAUUAGGGAAGAACAAAUGUGUAAGUAACUAUGCACGUCUUGACGGUACCUAAUCAGAAAGCCACGGCUAACUACGUG
This 495-nucleotide ribosomal RNA is filed under the name uncultured bacterium. Its description in RNAcentral is "partial 16S ribosomal RNA". It matches the Rfam family "Bacterial small subunit ribosomal RNA", at positions 30 to 507 of the family's 1533-position model. The record is from RNAcentral.